Molecule: transfer RNA, 87 nt
Filed under: Bacteroidaceae bacterium
Lineage: Bacteria; Pseudomonadati; Bacteroidota; Bacteroidia; Bacteroidales; Bacteroidaceae
Description: tRNA-Ser
Rfam family: tRNA
About the family: Transfer RNA (tRNA) molecules are approximately 80 nucleotides in length. Their secondary structure includes four short double-helical elements and three loops (D, anti-codon, and T loops). Further hydrogen bonds mediate the characteristic L-shaped molecular structure. tRNAs have two regions of fundamental functional importance: the anti-codon, which is responsible for specific mRNA codon recognition, and the 3' end, to which the tRNAs corresponding amino acid is attached (by aminoacyl-tRNA synthetases). tRNAs cope with the degeneracy of the genetic code in two manners: having more than one tRNA (with a specific anti-codon) for a particular amino acid; and 'wobble' base-pairing, i.e. permitting non-standard base-pairing at the 3rd anti-codon position.
Source: RNAcentral
GGAGAGAUGCCGGAGUGGUCGAACGGACCGCACUCGAAAUGCGGCAAGCGGGCAACUGCUUCCAGGGUUCGAAUCCCUGUCUCUCCG